Drosophila willistoni is the source of this 580-nucleotide long non-coding RNA. RefSeq lists it as uncharacterized. The record is from RefSeq and is a predicted model, not a curated record. The transcript is spliced from 2 exons. NCBI's taxonomy places the organism in Eukaryota, Metazoa, Arthropoda, Insecta, Diptera, Drosophilidae.
AUAAAUCAGAAGUUGAUACUAACAAUGAAAUUCCCAAGUAUAUUAUUUUUUUCGUUUUCAACAUUUAUUGUGUCUCAAUCCAAGGACGACACUUUCGGUGCAGAACCUAGAAUUUUCAACCAUUACAGCAAAAUGUAUUUGAUUUCCGCAAAGAAAAUGAACUUCUUUUCUGCCGAUAGGGAGUGUAAAAGGCACGGCUUAUUACUAGCCGCCAUUCCAGAUCAAGAGCAUCAAGCGCAUCUAGCGAAGUUUGUAAAGGGCAAAUAUCCAUUUUGGAUUUCAUUUUGGAUAGGUGGUUCAUGUAUGGCCAUGAAGACACAUUCCCCCUUCUUCUUUUACUGGGUUCACAAUAGCGAAAAAAUUAACUAUACGAAUUGGGCACCUAACCAUCCUGCAGCGGGGAAUGAUCAAUGCAUCACCUUUCAUUCACUUGAUGGUAAUUGGUAUGGUUGGAAUUACUAUAGCUCUCCUGGCUUCAUUUGCAUGCAUCCCUAUUACGUAGAUAUAUGAAUAGGAAGCAUCAGCUAUAAUCAAUUAAGUUAAAGAAAAUAAAGGAAUUCUCUUAGUUGUGUAAUUCUAA